CCUACGGGAGGCAGCAGUGAGGAAUAUUGGUCAAUGGGCGGGAGCCUGAACCAGCCAAGCCGCGUGAGGGAAGAAGGUCCAGCGUAUCGUAAACCUCUUUUGUCAGGGAACAAAGUGGGGCACUAGUCCCCGGCUGAGGGUACCUGCAGAAAAAGCAUCGGCUAACCCCGUGCCAGCAGCCGCGGUAAUACGGAGGAUGCGAGCGUUAUCCGGAUUUAUUGGGUUUAAGGGGUGCGCAGGUGGCCUGUUAAGUCAGCGGUAAAAGCCCGGGGCUCAACCCCGGCGAGCCGUUGAAACUGGCGGGCUGGAGUUGGAAUGAGGUACGCGGAAUGCGCGGUGUAGCGGUGAAAUGCUUAGAUAUCGCGCAGAACCCCGAUUGCGAAGGCAGCGUACCAGCUCGAGACUGACGCUGAGGCACGAAAGCGUGGGUAUCGAACAGGAUUAGAUACCCCUGUAGUC
Molecule: ribosomal RNA, 459 nt
Filed under: uncultured bacterium
Lineage: Bacteria
Description: partial 16S ribosomal RNA
Rfam family: Bacterial small subunit ribosomal RNA
Source: RNAcentral